AAAGAAAUAAGAUAGAUUGCAAGCUGCUAACUUAGUAAUUAUUAAGUUAAAUUCUUAAUUUUCUUUU
RNAcentral lists this transfer RNA (67 nucleotides) under Sminthurinus signatus. RNAcentral describes it as "tRNA-Ser". The record is from RNAcentral. Lineage: Eukaryota; Metazoa; Arthropoda; Collembola; Symphypleona; Katiannidae.